GACAGAGGGUGCAAACGUUGUUCGGAAUUACUGGGCGUAAAGCGCGUGUAGGCGGCUAAGUAAGUCGGGCGUGAAAUCCCACGGCUCAACCGUGGAAGUGCACUCGAAACUGCAUAGCUAGAGUCCUGGAGAGGAAGGUGGAAUGCUUGGUGUAGAGGUGAAAUUCGUAGAUAUCAAGCGGAACACCGGUGGCGAAGGCGGCCUUCUGGACAGUGACUGACGCUGAGACGGCGAAAGCGUGGGGAGCAAA
Molecule: ribosomal RNA, 250 nt
Filed under: uncultured bacterium
Lineage: Bacteria
Description: partial 16S ribosomal RNA
Rfam family: Bacterial small subunit ribosomal RNA
Source: RNAcentral